GUGGGAGGGGGCUUGCCCCCGAUAGCGUUCUGUCAGCUAGAGAGGUAUUGGCUGGCACACUGUAAUCGGGGGCAAGCCCCCUCCCAC
This 87-nucleotide unclassified non-coding RNA is filed under the name Pseudomonas extremorientalis. The record is from RNAcentral. Lineage: Bacteria; Pseudomonadati; Pseudomonadota; Gammaproteobacteria; Pseudomonadales; Pseudomonadaceae.